UGGCCAAUAAUUGUUAUUGUAUGUAACAGGAAAAGUAUUUAUCUCUGUAGAGAGAGGGCGAGUAAAUGGGGUUUAAAAUUCACUAAAUUCACUUGACACAAACUAUGCCAUUCAUUUCCUUGUAUUAAAUUGGUCGAAUCAAUGAUGGGUUAGUUGUAUUUUACGUCCGCUUCCACCGAGGUGAUAUCGCAGACAAGGUCGAAUCAAGUAGGCCCAUGCUUUAUGUCCUAGAAUCAAGUAGGACGGGUAGUCUUCUUCCGUUUCCGCCCUUUUCCUGAACACUGUCUCAUUCUAUUGCCAUCUGUGUAUGUUGUGUUAUAUUAAUUCUGCAUAAACCUAGAGUUGUUGUUAGUGUUUGUCGGAUAGAUCCUUUAUACUUACUGGCGCUAGUUUCCAUAUUAGAUGCCAUAGCAAAUCAAAGAUCAUAUAAUAAAAUAAGUCAAAAAACCCAAAUAUGGGAAAAAAAAGAGCUGAAGAAAUGGUGAUUUGAGCACCUAUGAUUUCUCAUAGUUGUUUUUUGAGGAAAGAUCAAGACAGUUGAAAAUGGCUAUUCAUAUUAUGGAAACUUUUUCUCACAGAGCUUGAUAAUCAGGUAAAAUGCUGGAACACCCUUGAAAGAGUAUUUGGUGUAUGAUAACAACAAGAGAACCCAAGCAUCAAUUUAUUUUAUACUUCUGGGAAAGAAUGCAUUUGACCCAAUUUUUAAAUAUUUAUUUUUUGUUAUUAAUGUUAAAUUUUCUUCCAAAACACAAUUAGGUUUUAAUUCUCUUCAAAUAUGUAUGUAUAAUAUAGCAAGUAAACUGACAUAUAAAUCACUUAGAAUUUGGUCGGAAAUCAUAAAGUAUUUAAUAGGCAUUACUAGAAACCAAAUGUAGAUCAAAUACACCCAGAAUUACAAAAAACCUUGACCUACAUUAAGGUGACUUUCCCUUGCUUAUGAAAUGAAAUACGUUUUAAUAUCCUGCUUUUCUGUGUUUUUAGAGUGAUUCUACCCUACCCUUAUAUCAAAUAUUUCAACUGUCAAGGGUUCUUUAAAGGGUACCCAGGGGGGCCGAAUGGUUAACACGCACACAUUUGAUCAGAAGGUCUGUCAUUGAUUCAAAUAAUUCAAUUUUCAAGGGUUCUUCAAAGUGUACGCAGUUGGGUUGGUUUCAAUUCUGGGGGGUGGGGGUGGAUGGCCGAUUGGUUAGCACGUGCAUGCUGUAUCAUACGGCCUCCUGUCAUUGAGUCAACUGGCAUGGUUUCGAAUCCCCGGUUGUAGACAAGGAGUAGGGUCGCCUGUCCAAUCUUGUGGGUUUUCUCCGGGACCUCCGGUUUCCUCCCACUGCUAAAGACCCCUACGCGCUAGCGAAUUAUUGAAAUAAAAUUAAACCAUAUGUUAAUCCCAAAAUGAUCUAGUUUGUGUCGAGUAGAUGUUAAACCCCAUUUCUCUCUGUCUCUCUCUCUUUUGAUUCUGGGCUUGUACCCAAUUAUCCCUUGCCAUAUCCAACACUGAAAAGUGGGAACUAUGCCGGAAAAUCCAGUUGAAAUUUCGCGGCCAACGCCUUAUGCUCACUGAACCACUGUGGCUUAUGACUUGUGAUUGUAUAUAAAUCUUUUGUACAUAUGAUAUUUUUUUAUUUCAAUCCUGUAAUCUUGAUGCUUUGCUUCUUUUAUUUAUAAAAUAUUCAUUUUGUUUGGGUUUUUUUUAAUGAGGAAAAGGCUCUACAUCAUUUUAUUACUCCUGCAAAAUAGAGCAAUUUUCUUUUGUUAGUUUUCUGUGUAUGCUAGUUAUUUCUAGAUGCCUCACAAAUCACUUGUAGUGUGAUUUUGUAGCAUUUUUCAGUUUUUGAAAUUGUUUCAAUUUAGUGCAUAAUUAAUCUUAUUAGUGCUUAGUUUGGAUGUUAUUAAAUUUAGAUAUAUUUGAAUUAUAUAUUUUGGGGUAUGGGGUAGGGAUACUGUGUACAUAUCUUUAUAUUCUCAGUUCUUGUUUUGGGGUAAAGAACAAUUUAAAUAGCUAUUUUAUAUUUUGUGAUGGGUAAAG
Molecule: long non-coding RNA, 2023 nt
Organism: Patella vulgata (common limpet)
Lineage: Eukaryota; Metazoa; Mollusca; Gastropoda; Patellidae
Exons: 4
Source: RefSeq, a predicted model, not a curated record